This 501-nucleotide ribosomal RNA is filed under the name uncultured bacterium. RNAcentral's name for it is "bacterial SSU rRNA". It matches the Rfam family "Bacterial small subunit ribosomal RNA", at positions 30 to 546 of the family's 1533-position model. The record is from RNAcentral.
AUAACGCUGGCGGCGUGCCUAACACAUGCAAGUCGCACGUCCUCUGGUGCUUCGGUACCGGAGGGAGUGGCGGACGGGUGAGUAACACGUGGGUGACCUACCCUUUGGUGAGGAAUACCGGCGAGAAAUCGCCGACAAGACCGCAUAGGCUCUCGCAGGAGAGCAAAGCUGCUGACGCGAGUCAGCAGCGCCAGAGGAUGGGCCUGCGGCCGAUUAGCUAGUUGGUGGGGUAAGGGCUCACCAAGGCGACGAUCGGUAGCUGGUCUGAGAGGACGAUCAGCCACACUGGGAUUGAGAACGGCCCAGACUCCUACGGGGGGCAGCAGUGAGGAAUUUUCCGCAAUGGAGGCAACUCUGACGGAGCAACGCCGCGUGCAGGACGACGCGUUUCGGCGUGUAAACUGCUUUUCUGGGGGACGAGGACGGACGGUACCCCAGGAAGAAGCCCCGGCUAACUACGUGCCAGCAGCCGCGGUAAUACGUAGGGGGCGAGCGUUGUCC